AUUUUGCUUCAGUUGGAACCCUCUCUUUUUUUCCAGUCCGUGCCCUCCUCAUCCAUCCCUCUCCCCCACUCUGUUCUUCCUGUGUUGUUUCCCUUCACCUGCCAUGCUUGGCUUCGUGCGGGGCUUUUGUUGUCGUUGUCUCCUGGCCACCGACCUCCCUGGUGUUGUCCUUCUGAAGUUUCUUUGGAUCUGAAGGAGCUGCACCACUGCCCCAUCUGCAGCAGUUCCUGCUCUUCCCUUUCAGCCUUUUCUCUGCCCUGAGGAAGGAGCUCUGCUUGGAGCAGCUGCAGGAGGCAAUCACCUUCCCUUGGAGGAAAGGGCAGGUCGGGGUUUGCACCAAACUUUGGGCCAACAGUGGAGGCUCAAGGUGCACCUGAGAGGAGAGCUGAGGCGCUGCAGCAGGAACAGCCACCAGCACAUCGCUGCGGAUGGGAGGGAGGAAGGGCAGAGGCAGCACAGUGCCCAGCAGCCCUCAGGGAUCGGGGUGCACCCGGGGUCAUCCUGUGCUCCUUCCCCCAGCGCUGACAUGGGAACGGCCCCAGUGCAGCCACCCACCGCCGCUCGCUGUGAUCCAGGGUCCUGAGCUGACCUCGCUCUGCUGCACCCACGCAGGGCAGGGAUGGCUGAAUUACUGCUCCCUGCUGCGCUCUGUACAUCCUCCUCCUGGCCGGGUGGCCUCAGGAUCUGUGGGGCUGGAUGGCUGCGUGCUCUCAGGUCAAACAGUAGCUCCAUUUUUUCCCUUGUGAAGGACCAAGAGCUUGCCCUGGUUCCAAGGAAGUAGCUGUGGAUUUUAAUUUAAUUUUAUUUUUUCCCUCCUCCGUUCUUCUUUCUGAAUCUUUUUGGGAUUUUGGGCUCUUAAUGAGGAUGCUUGGACCAGCACAGGGUGCAGCCCCAUGCAGAGGGGUGAACGCCUCUGGAGAAGCAAUGGGAGCAGCACACCAAGAGCUGGCAACCGCAGUGCCUUGGGUCUGAAACUGGGAGCUGUGUCCCUUCACAUCGCAUGGCUGCAUCCUCCCCAGCACAUCCCAUAGGGAUUAGGUGGGAUUCUGGGGGGCGCAAGGCCAAACCGCAGUGAGGGGAACGUCAAGAAGGGAAAAAUGUCACCCUCAGAAACAAUUAAACUGCUUAAUAAAAUCCGUUGCCUCUCGGAGUGCUCGCUGUUCUUUUCCGUUUGCCUUGGCUCAGCCACACUUACAUCAUGGCCCUAUCGCGGUGCUGCCGAGUGGACGGGUUUGAUUGCACAGGAAACCGGCGCUUUGGCAAACUUCUCUGCCCCGGUAAAGCCAGGCCAAGAGCUUAAUGCCUUUGCUUUGCAGAAAAAAAUCUUCCCUGUCCUUUCCCUCUUUCCUUUCUGCAACCCCUUAACCAUCACCCGCCAACUAGGCGGCCACCCCUCACAUGCCUCCUGCUCCAAAGCGCCUGAGAUGCAGAUUAAUUCCCCUUAAAUCAUGUUGUUUCACGUCCGUGGACCGUGUGUCCCCUCCCACCCUGUAGAGCUGAAGCACUGGAAGGUGCUGUGUGGAAACUGCAACGUUAAAAAAGGAUAUUUAUGUAAUGGAAAUGUCCUUUGAUUUUUUUUUUUUUAAGAGUUAUGCCUUCAUUACAAAAAAACUAAGGAUGUUCUUUCAUCUAAAAAGCACCGUAGCCUUGGGCACGUGUAUGAAUGUGUUGGG
RNAcentral lists this long non-coding RNA (1673 nucleotides) under Gallus gallus (chicken). RNAcentral describes it as "lncRNA (ENSGALG00010030081.1)". Lineage: Eukaryota; Metazoa; Chordata; Aves; Galliformes; Phasianidae. The record is from RNAcentral.